Molecule: long non-coding RNA, 3329 nt
Filed under: Malus domestica (apple)
Lineage: Eukaryota; Viridiplantae; Streptophyta; Magnoliopsida; Rosales; Rosaceae
Description: long non-coding RNA (MDOM_LNC014739)
Source: RNAcentral
CUUAUUAAAAUAUGGAAUACUUGAAGUUAAUAGAAGAUUUAACACAAAACUAGAUACAAUUAUAACGUUUUAAGAUUCAUACACUUAACCAUAUUUAAUAGCCUAAAGUUUUAUUGUCGUUGUCAUCUUAUCAGCAGCAACUGGCAAGCUUUAUUUAUAUAGCCAAUAGGCAUAUGACAUCACCAGGUGACAACUGAAGGCAUAGAAUUAUGUAGAACCAUCAUCACAUGUUAUGCAAAACUAUAUUAUAUACAUGUAGCAUAAAGAAAAGUUAAAGUAUAUUAUAUAAUAUGAUAAUCAGGUGAUGGUGAUGAUCAGCCUCUUAAUCACAAUAAGUUAAGACUGGCUUAAUUAUAAACUAGUGAGCAAUCUUUAUCAGUAAAACGUGGAUUAACCAAUUAGGGAUUAAUUAGUAUAAUACUGCAGUGUUCACACGAUUACAUAUGCAGCAUAUUUGGUUCGUAUGAUUAUAUAUAAACAGUUAAAAUAUCAUUUAAACCUACUUCUUAUCUUGAUUAGUCAGUGUUUUACACCUACUUAAUAUUGUACUAAGUCCUGAGGAAUACAUGGAUACAUAAUUACACACACGCAUACAUAUAUGUAUGAACUGGAAGAUGGUUAACUUUUGCUUUCAUAUAUAAGUAGGUCAACUUUGGCCGGAUUUCUUUAAGGAUCGAAGACCUAGCUACUAUUAUUACUUAUUAUAAAAUGUAAUUAUCAGCGAGGUUAACACUUUAUCUUUCCUCGUAGUUCUGCCUAAUUCAUAUUCACCAUUUAUUGACAGUUGAAUAUUCAUACUAAGGUUGUUAAAGAGUCACAAGACGUUAAGAACAGACGUGUUGAGAAAUCAUAAUUUCUACUUAACUUUCUCCAGCUUUUGUUCCAUUAUUUACAAGGUUGAGUGUUUUAGACUUAAAAUUUUAGGAUUCUGGUACCAGAUUGGUUAACCACUUCAUGUUUAGGUUUUAAGUUUCAGAUUUUGAACUAUCGAAGUUCUAAAAGCAGUGAUACUAUACUUAUAUCAAAACUGUAAAUAAAUAAGAUCGACGUUGAAAAACUAGAUUUCGGCAAUAUCUAUUGAUGCAGGCUAAGGACUAAAGACGUUAUUACAUAAAAUUACUGGUAGCUGGAAUUUACGUUUUAUAAUAUAAUACAUGCAUUUUUAGAGUUAUAAUGCAUGUAUCUAGGUUUAAAUUUGUGGCCUAUGAAAUUCCUAGGUUAAUGACAUUUUAUGAAAUCAUUUAGUUUUUUAGGAGUUAUAUUGUAAGCCUUUAUUUUUUAUAUGUCUUUUCAUAUUUUUCACUUUAAGUUGUAAGCCUAUAAAUACUUGUAUUUGUAAAGAAGAAGGGGAGAAGUUGUUUGAAUUAUCAUAUUGAUAUUUGAGCUGUAAACUCGUUUUUAUGUGUCUUUCUCUUUGUAAAAGUUUGCUGCUUUGUUCAUUCUAGUGUCUACGUUGUAGGCUGGUACUAGAACCAAAGUUUAUAGGGUUUUCAGGCCUCCCCUCACACUAGGAGAUAGUGGACCCUACCUAUCCAUUAUAUCUAUCAUUUUAAUUCAUUUCUGUUUGUUGUAUCCUACAUCAUUUGGUAUCAGAGCGUCAGCUCGAUCCAAGGGUGACGUUAUAUUCAGCAUGUCGUAGAUGCUAGUAGAUGAAGAUCUUAAUCUGGACCUUCCUCCAAUAUUUGAUCAUUGCUUGGAUAGUUCAUCUCCAAUAUGUUGUGAAAAUAAUUCAGGUGAUUGUCUCAUAAAUCUUGAUCUUCCUCCCGAGUUUGAUCGUUCUCCAUAUGCUACUUAUCACGUUUGUUGUCAAAGUACUUGUGUGGUUCAACGAAAUGUUGAUAUGGAAUCUUGUCUAAUUAUUAAAAAUGCUGAUUACAAAGAAUUUUUGAAGUUGGAGUUUCAUGAUUUAAUGAGUUCAUUGGAAACUUCUAGAUAUGUUGAUUUAAUUGGGGUUGAUGUCUUCUAUUUCAGAAUUUCCAAAGUUUUGGUUGACAUUAUAAAUCAAAUGAAAGAGAAUUACAAGGUUGCGAGGUAUGCUAUUAAGGGUGCUUUUCACACUUCAACAGUCAAUAUUAAAUGCUCCAAAUAUCUAUUUGUUUGGACUGGUAGAGUUCAAUUAUAUCGCUUCAAAUCAGAUGAUGAUCCAAAUUCGAGGACGAAUUCUCUCCAACCCCACGAGAAUGAUGCAAACCAAGGACUAAAGGCGUUAUUACAUAAAUUACUGGCAACUGGGAUUUAAGUUUUAUAAUAAAUAUAAUACAUGCAUUUUUAGAGUUAUAAUGUAUGUAUCUAGCUUUAAAUUUGUGGCUUAUGGAAUUCCUAGGUUAAUGAUAUUUUAUGAAAUCAUUUAGUUUUUUAGGACUUAUAUUGUAAGCCUUUAUUUUUUUUAUGUCUUUUCAUAUUUUUCACUUUAAGUUGUAAGCCUAUAAAUACUUGUAUUUGUAAAGAAGAAGGGGAGAAGUUGUUUGAAUUAUCAUAUUGAUAUUUGAGUUGUAAACUGGUUUUUAUGUGACUUUCUCUUUGUAAGAGUCUGCUGCUUUGUUCUUUCAAGUGUUUACGUUGUAGGUUGGUACUAGGAUCAAAGUUUAUAGAGUUUUCAGGCCUCUCCUCGCACUAGGAGUUAGUGAACCCUACCUAUAUCAUUUUAAAUCGUUUCUGUCCGCUGCACCCUGCAUCAUCCAUCCUUUUAACUUUUUGAGGGGUGGACGUUUAGAAUCUUAAGUCUCCGCAUAGUAUAUCACUGUAACAGCUUUGGUUUGAAAUCUCAUCAAAUGAGUUUGAGUAAUUAAGCAAGAAAAAAAAAGAAGUGAAGAGAUGCAUUUCACAUUUUAAAGCCUCACUUUCAGCUUUCAACCUUGACAUCCAAGAUCUGACUUUAACCACUACCAAUAGAUAAAAAUAUAAAAUGAUGUGUAAAACUUUCACCUCUAGAUUUUAUUUUAAUGCCUUAACUUUCACCUCUAGAUUUUAUUUUAAUGCCUUGGAUUUUACCAUCUCAACUAGAUUGAUUUCAUUUUCAUGACAUCUUUAAGAGGACACAAGGUUGGAGAGAUUCUGUAUUGCAACCAAGACAAUCUUAAUGACGUCGCCCAUUCACUAGAUGUUUGUCACAUGUUCUAAAAGUAAAUCACUCAUUCAACAAAGGCUUGUCACGUGGUGAAUUAAUGACAAAAUAAUCUCUCCCCAGCCAUUAAUUGUAUACUCUUUUAUGAAUCCAUAGAAUUUCCCUACCUAAAAAGACAAUCUCUCUCCAGCCCUAGUGUUGUAGAAAAUACAAAUCAUAUAGUUUUUAUGCAUUUUCCAAUCAAAUUUGCGAAAGAAAACACAAC